AGUGGGAGGGGGCCACAGAAGGAGCGUUCUCAUCGCAGCCCCUGUGAGGCUUUGCCUGUGAAUCCUUCC
This 69-nucleotide ribozyme is filed under the name Eptatretus burgeri (inshore hagfish). Its description in RNAcentral is "Mammalian CPEB3 ribozyme (ENSEBUG00000000081.1)". It matches the Rfam family "Mammalian CPEB3 ribozyme". From Rfam's summary of the family: The mammalian CPEB3 ribozyme is a self cleaving RNA located in the second intron of the CPEB3 gene which belongs to a family of genes regulating messenger RNA polyadenylation. Lineage: Eukaryota; Metazoa; Chordata; Myxini; Myxiniformes; Myxinidae. The record is from Rfam by way of RNAcentral.